RNAcentral lists this long non-coding RNA (438 nucleotides) under Vigna radiata. RNAcentral's name for it is "long non-coding RNA (VRAD_LNC001704)". Lineage: Eukaryota; Viridiplantae; Streptophyta; Magnoliopsida; Fabales; Fabaceae. The record is from RNAcentral.
UUUGUUUCCAAAAAGAUAUAACCAACAAACAUUCGUUUGGGCCUUAAUACCUUUUCUUCUAAUACCUUUUAGCCCCUAGCCACAUUACAAGCUUAAUAAAGUCCACACAGAUUGGAUAAUGUUUGCUAAAAUUUUCAUAAAGCUUAAUUUCGCGAUAAGGGGAAAUGACUUUCAAUGUGUCGAAAAAAGAGAGAAGAGGAGAAAAAAAAAAGAGAAAAAAAAAAGAAAAGAAGAAAAAAUAAAUGUCUCAAGAAAAGGGGAUCUUCCUACCAACUAGCCAGAAGCAUGCAAAAAGAAAAAUCAAACCCAUUGGGGGCCAUCCUUUUAGCCGAUCCUUUUCAUGCCCACUACCUCUUCCAAACUGAACCCCUUGCCGAAGAAAAACUGGGGCAACUUUGUGAACCUCACACGAAUUUUUCAUCAACCCAUACCACGAUA